CCCCUAGAUGUUCUGGGCCGCACGCGCGCUACACUGAACAGUUCAACAAGUCUUAACCUUGGCCGAUAGGUCUGGGUAAUCUUUGAACGCUGUUCGUGAUUGGGAUAGACCUUUGCAAUUAUGGGUCUUCAACGAGGAAUUCCUAGUAAACGCAAGUCAUCAGCUUGCAUUGAUUACGUCCCUGCCCUUUGUACACACCGCCCGUCGCACCUACCGAUUGGAUGGUCCGAUGAGGCCUCCGGACUCGGACCUGCUCUCCGUCAGGGGACUGGACCGGGGAAGUUGGUCAAAUCUUACCAUCUAGAGGAAGGUGAAGUCGUAACA
RNAcentral lists this ribosomal RNA (324 nucleotides) under uncultured eukaryote. RNAcentral describes it as "partial 18S ribosomal RNA". It matches the Rfam family "Eukaryotic small subunit ribosomal RNA", at positions 1470 to 1796 of the family's 1831-position model. The record is from RNAcentral.